AGAGUAAAAUGUUUAAUGGCCUGAGGUAGUAGUAGUUAUGUGCUUGAAAUUCAAAGAAUCUGGCGGUAUUUUAGUCUAUUCAGAGGAACCUGUCCUGUAAUUGAUAAUCCACGAUUAAUUGUACUUAUUUUUAGUUUGUAUAUCGUCGUAGUUGGAAUGUUUUAAGAGAAAAUGGAAUGUUCAAGAUUUAUGUUAAAUAAAGGAAAUCAGAUCAAGAUACAGCGUAUAAAUGAGAAGAGAUGGGUUACAAUAAAUUUAUUUAUAUGGUUAGAAUAAUUAACAUUAUUCUAUAAAUUGGAUUUGAUAGUAAUAUGAUUAAGUUAAAUUGUAUGAUUCUAGCUCUAAAAUAUGCACAUAUCGCCCGUCGCUCCCUCCUUAAAGAUGGAUAAGUCGAAAACAUAGUAAAAAGCCGGAGCUGACGACGGUCAUUUCUCUUCCUGUCACUCCGGCCCGCGAAAAGCGAAGGGCCUAUCUCUGGUGUGUCGGAGGAUGUACCGAGCGGGAAGGCUCUUGGCGGUGCUUCGAAGUAAACGACAUGCUCCACCGGUGGUGCGGGGCCCCGUCAGUUCCUUUUGAGUUUUCAGUGUUUGCGAUCCUACUCCCCAGGUUGAGUGGUUGGAGUCCUUAGCUGCAGCACUGAAGGGCGGAAACGCUCUAACACUUCGCACUCAUCGUUACAGCGUGUACUACAAGGUAUUCUAAUGCUGUUUGCUCCCCACGCCUUCGCGCCCCAUUGUCACUAACAGACCAGUAAAGUCGCCUGCACUCUGCUGUUCCUCCGGAUGUCUACGCAUUCAUCAGCUACACUUUGGAGUUCCACCUUCACUUCUGCAUUCACUUCCGCAGUCUACCAAUGACCCUCCCGGUUGACCCUCGCGCUUCCAACUCAGAGCUAGAAUCUACCUGCU
RNAcentral lists this ribosomal RNA (908 nucleotides) under Protaetia brevitarsis. RNAcentral describes it as "partial 12S ribosomal RNA". Lineage: Eukaryota; Metazoa; Arthropoda; Insecta; Coleoptera; Scarabaeidae. The record is from RNAcentral.